AUUGAACGCUGGCGGCAGGCUUAACACAUGCAAGUCGAGCGGGGUGAUGGUGCUUGCACUGUCACUUAGCGGCGGACGGGUGAGUAAUGCUUAGGAAUCUGCCUAUUAGUGGGGGACAACAUCUCGAAAGGGAUGCUAAUACCGCAUACGUCCUACGGGAGAAAGCAGGGGAUCACUUGUGACCUUGCGCUAAUAGAUGAGCCCAAGUCGGAUUAGCUAGUUGGUGGGGUAAAGGCCUACCAAGGCGACGAUCUGUAGCGGGUCUGAGAGGAUGAGCCGCCACCCUGGGACUGAGGCACGGCCCAGACUCCUACGGGAGGCAGCAGUGGGGAAUAUUGGACAAUGGGGGGAACCCUGAUCUAGCCAUGCCGCGUGUGUGAAGAAGGCCUUAUGGUUGUAAAGCACUUUAAGCGAGGAGGAGGCUCUUUUGGUUAAUACCCAAGAUGAGUGGACGUUACUCGCAGAAUAAGCACCGGCUAACUCUGUGCCAGCCGCUGCGGUAA
RNAcentral lists this ribosomal RNA (503 nucleotides) under uncultured bacterium. RNAcentral describes it as "partial 16S ribosomal RNA". It matches the Rfam family "Bacterial small subunit ribosomal RNA", at positions 30 to 523 of the family's 1533-position model. The record is from RNAcentral.